AUUGAACGCUGGCGGCAUGCCUUACACAUGCAAGUCGAACGGUAGCACAGAGAGCUUGCUCUCGGGUGACGAGUGGCGGACGGGUGAGUAAUGUCUGGGAAACUGCCCGAUGGAGGGGGAUAACUACUGGAAACGGUAGCUAAUACCGCAUAACGUCUACGGACCAAAGUGGGGGACCUUUGGGCCUCACACCAUCGGAUGUGCCCAGAUGGGAUUAGCUAGUAGGUGGGGUAAUGGCUCACCUAGGCGACGAUCCCUAGCUGGUCUGAGAGGAUGACCCGCCACACUGGAACUGAGACACGGUCCAGACUCCUACGGGAGGCAGCAGUGGGGAAUAUUGCACAAUGGGCGCAAGCCUGAUGCAGCCAUGCCGCGUGUAUGAAGAAGGCCUUCGGGUUGUAAAGUACUUUCAGCGGGGAGGAAGGGUUGCUGGUUAAUAACCAGCGACAUUGACGUUACCCGCAGAAGAAGCACCGGCUAACUCCGUGCCAGCCGCCGCCGUAA
This 504-nucleotide ribosomal RNA is filed under the name uncultured bacterium. Its description in RNAcentral is "partial 16S ribosomal RNA". It matches the Rfam family "Bacterial small subunit ribosomal RNA", at positions 30 to 523 of the family's 1533-position model. The record is from RNAcentral.